UGCAAGUCGAACGGCAGCACAGGAUAGCUUGCUAUCCGGGUGGCGAGUGGCGGACGGGUGAGUAACGCGUAGGAAUCUACCUUUUCGUGGGGGAUAACCCGGGGAAACUCGGGCUAAUACCGCAUACGCCCUACGGGGGAAAGCGGGGGACCUUCGGGCCUCGCGCGGAAUGAUGAGCCUGCGUCCUAUCAGGUAGUUGGUGAGGUAAUGGCUCACCAAGCCGACGACGGGUAGCUGGUCUGAGAGGACGACCAGCCACACUGGGACUGAGACACGGCCCAGACUCCUACGGGAGGCAGCAGUGGGGAAUAUUGGACAAUGGGGGAAACCCUGAUCCAGCAAUACCGCGUGGGUGAAGAAGGCCUUCGGGUUGUAAAGCACUUUUAGCAGGAAAGAAAGGCCGUGCGCUAAUACCGCAUGGG
This 422-nucleotide ribosomal RNA is filed under the name uncultured soil bacterium. Its description in RNAcentral is "bacterial SSU rRNA". It matches the Rfam family "Bacterial small subunit ribosomal RNA", at positions 56 to 472 of the family's 1533-position model. The record is from RNAcentral.